GAUGAAGAACGUAGCGAAAUGCGAUACGUAGUGUGAAUUGCAGAAUUCAGUGAAUCAUCGAAUCUUUGAACGCACAUUGCGCCCCCUGGUAUUCCGGGGGGCAUGCCUGUUCGAGCGUCAUUUCACCACUCAAGCCUCGCUUGGUAUUGGGCAACGCGGUCCGCCGCGUGCCUCAAAUCGACCGGCUGGGUCUUCUGUCCCCUAAGCGUUGUGGAAACUUUCGCUAAAGGGUGUUCGGGAGGCUACGCCGUAAAACAACCCCAUUUCUAAGGUUGACCUCGGAUCAGGUAGGGAUACCCGCUGAACUUAAGCAUAUCAAUAAGCGGAGGA
RNAcentral lists this unclassified non-coding RNA (330 nucleotides) under soil metagenome. RNAcentral's name for it is "partial contains 5.8S ribosomal RNA, internal transcribed spacer 2, and large subunit ribosomal RNA". The stretch from base 1 to 120 matches the Rfam family "5.8S ribosomal RNA", at positions 35 to 154 of the family's 154-position model. The record is from RNAcentral.